This 177-nucleotide ribosomal RNA is filed under the name bacterium dulse 6. RNAcentral describes it as "partial 16S ribosomal RNA". It matches the Rfam family "Bacterial small subunit ribosomal RNA", at positions 1200 to 1375 of the family's 1533-position model. The record is from RNAcentral.
CCUUAUGUCUUGGGCUUCACGCAUGCUACAAUGGCCGGUACAAAGGGCUGCGAUACCGUAAGGUGGAGCGAAUCCCAAAAAGCCGGUCUCAGUUCGGAUUGAGGUCUGCAACUCGACCUCAUGAAGUCGGAGUCGCUAGUAAUCGCAGAUCAGCAACGCUGCGGUGAAUACGUUCCC